RNAcentral lists this transfer RNA (57 nucleotides) under Aspiculuris tetraptera. Its description in RNAcentral is "tRNA-Ile". The record is from RNAcentral. Lineage: Eukaryota; Metazoa; Nematoda; Chromadorea; Rhabditida; Heteroxynematidae.
ACCAUUGUAGUAAAAAGAUUAUUAUGUUGUUUUGAUGGAGCAGAGUUGUGUGUGGUA